Molecule: ribosomal RNA, 253 nt
Filed under: uncultured bacterium
Lineage: Bacteria
Description: partial 16S ribosomal RNA
Rfam family: Bacterial small subunit ribosomal RNA
Source: RNAcentral
UACAGAGGGUGCAAGCGUUAAUCGGAAUUACUGGGCGUAAAGCGUGCGUAGACGGUAGCGUAAGUCGGGUGUGAAAGCCCCGGGCUCAACCUGGGAAUUGCAUUCGAGACUGCUCUGCUAGGGUGCGGAAGAGGGAAGCGGAAUUUCCGGUGUAGCGGUGAAAUUCGUAGAUAUUCGGAAGAACACCAGUGGCGAAGGCGACUAACUGGACAUGUAUUGACGCUGAGGUGCGAAAGCGUGGGGAGCAAACAGG